AGUCACUGACAUUAGAUACCCGCGUAGUCCAGGGUGUAAACGCUGCAGACUUGGUGUUGGGAACCCGUUCGGGGGUGCUCAGUGCCGGAGAGAAGUUGUUAAGUCUGCUACUUGGGGAGUACGUCCGCAAGGAUGAAACUUAAAGGAAUUGGCGGGGGAGCACCGCAACGGGAGGAGCGUGCGGUUUAAUUGGAUUCAACACCGUAAAACUCACCAGGGAAGACUGUUACAUGAAGGCCGAGAUGAAGACUCUGCUAGAUUUUCAG
RNAcentral lists this ribosomal RNA (266 nucleotides) under uncultured archaeon. RNAcentral describes it as "partial 16S ribosomal RNA". It matches the Rfam family "Archaeal small subunit ribosomal RNA", at positions 716 to 982 of the family's 1478-position model. The record is from RNAcentral.